Molecule: ribosomal RNA, 622 nt
Filed under: uncultured bacterium
Lineage: Bacteria
Description: bacterial SSU rRNA
Rfam family: Bacterial small subunit ribosomal RNA
Source: RNAcentral
AGUCGAGCGAGUCUGCCUUGAAGAUCGGAGUGCUUGCACUCUGUGAAACAAGAUACAGGCUAGCGGCGGACGGGUGAGUAACACGUGGGUAACCUGCCCAAGAGAUCGGGAUAACACCUGGAAACAGAUGCUAAUACCGGAUAACAACAGAUGAUGCCUAUCAACUGUUUAAAAGAUGGUUCUGCUAUCACUCUUGGAUGGACCUGCGGUGCAUUAGCUAGUUGGUAGGGUAACGGCCUACCAAGGCGAUGAUGCAUAGCCGAGUUGAGAGACUGAUCGGCCACAUUGGGACUGAGACACGGCCCAAACUCCUACGGGAGGCAGCAGUAGGGAAUCUUCCACAAUGGACGCAAGUCUGAUGGAGCAACGCCGCGUGAGUGAAGAAGGGUUUCGGCUCGUAAAGCUCUGUUGUUGGUGAAGAAGGACAGGGGUAGUAACUGACCUUUGUUUGACGGUAAUCAAUUAGAAAGUCACGGCUAACUACGUGCCAGCAGCCGCGGUAAUACGUAGGUGGCAAGCGUUGUCCGGAUUUAUUGGGCGUAAAGCGAGUGCAGGCGGCUCGAUAAGUCUGAUGUGAAAGCCUUCGGCUCAACCGGAGAAUUGCAUCAGAAACUGUCGAGCU